Molecule: ribosomal RNA, 253 nt
Filed under: uncultured bacterium
Lineage: Bacteria
Description: partial 16S ribosomal RNA
Rfam family: Bacterial small subunit ribosomal RNA
Source: RNAcentral
UACAGAGGGUGCAAGCGUUAAUCGGAGUUACUGGGCGUAAAGGGCGCGUAGGCGGUUCGUUAAGUGAGUGGUGAAAUCCCUGGGCUUAACCUGGGAAUGGCCACUUAUACUGGCGAGCUAGAGUACUGUAGAGGGUAGUGGAAUUUCCGGUGUAGCGGUGAAAUGCGUAGAGAUCGGAAGGAACACCAGUGGCGAAGGCGGCUACCUGGACAGAUACUGACGCUGAGGCGCGAGAGCGUGGGGAGCAAACAGG